UACGGAGGAUCCAAGCGUUAUCCGGAAUCAUUGGGUUUAAAGGGUCCGUAGGCGGGCAAUUAAGUCAGGGGUGAAAGUUUGCGGCUCAACCGUAAAAUUGCCUUUGAUACUGGUUGUCUUGAAUUAUUAUGAAGUGGUUAGAAUGAGUAGUGUAGCGGUGAAAUGCUUAGAUAUUACUCAGAAUACCAAUUGCGAAGGCAGAUCACUAAUAAUAUAUUGACGCUGAUGGACGAAAGCGUGGGGAGCGAACAGG
RNAcentral lists this unclassified non-coding RNA (253 nucleotides) under uncultured Flavobacteriaceae bacterium. Its description in RNAcentral is "contains 16S-23S intergenic spacer region". It matches the Rfam family "Bacterial small subunit ribosomal RNA", at positions 524 to 776 of the family's 1533-position model. The record is from RNAcentral. Lineage: Bacteria; Pseudomonadati; Bacteroidota; Flavobacteriia; Flavobacteriales; Flavobacteriaceae.